This 450-nucleotide ribosomal RNA is filed under the name uncultured bacterium. RNAcentral describes it as "bacterial SSU rRNA". It matches the Rfam family "Bacterial small subunit ribosomal RNA", at positions 29 to 524 of the family's 1533-position model. The record is from RNAcentral.
AACGAACGCUGGCGGCAUGCCUAACACAUGCAAGUCGAACGAGACCUUCGGGUCUAGUGGCGCACGGGUGCGUAACGCGUGGGAAUCUGCCCUUGGGUUCGGAAUAACAGUUAGAAAUGACUGCUAAUACCGGAUAAUGUCUUCGGACCAAAGAUUUAUCGCCCAGGGAUGAGCCCGCGUAGGAUUAGCUAGUUGGUGAGGUAAAGGCUCACCAAGGCGACGAUCCUUAGCUGGUCUGAGGGGAUGAUCAGCCACACUGGGACUGAGACACGGCCCAGACUCCUACGGGAGGCAGCAGUGGGGAAUAUUGGACAAUGGCGAAAGCCUGAUCCAGCAAUGCCGCGUGAGUGAUGAAGGCCUUAGGGUUGUAAAGCUCUUUUACCCGGGAUGAUAAUGACAGUACCGGGAGAAUAAGCCCCCGGCUAACUCCGUGCCAGCAGCCGCGGUAAU